CUGUGUUCAUUAUGAUCUCAGUAUAAUCCCACUACUAGCAACCAGCAUGCUUGAAUGUAGACAUAGUAGCAGAAGGAGAGAAGUGUCAUGUGUAAAACUGGUGACUAAUAAAAUAUCCACAGAUUGGCACAAUGAUUGAAACCUCAAGGACCAUGGCACCAGAAAACUUUAGGACGUUCAUUCACAUCCUACAUAAUACAGUUCAACUUUUUAGUCCUUGAAAAUUACCAAGCAUCAAGUAGAUGUCUCCUUGGUGAAGUGGCACUGCCAAGCCAGGUGUUUCUAUGUCCCAUGCCACCUUCAAGCCCACGUGCCAAACAGCUGGGUCUCUUCCCUCCAGUUCCUGUUCGCUGCUUUCUUGUACAGAUGAAUCUUGAGAGAGAGAGAAAGAGACCACAAGAAUGAGGGAACAGGAGUCACGAAAUUUCAAGACAAGGCAAAGCUGUCAAGUUAACAGGAAUGUGGUGAAGGUUUUUCUUGAUCAAAAUAGAUUUUUUUGUGGCACUAUACAAUUAUUUGUGUUGAUGAUUUGCCAUGUGCAAGAGAUGUGUGAAACAUGCCAUCAGAAUUUUUGGAAUCAAUCCUGAUCCAUGACAGGUCCAUUCACACUGAUCUACUCACAGAAUAACUCAACACUAACUCAAUGAACAUUGUUCCUUCGGCCAGUGGCAAUUAAUGGAACAGAACUGGCAAUUUCCUUACCUAGCUGAGUGUAGAUUUGUCACACAUGGAUUAGCA
Long non-coding RNA from Passer domesticus (house sparrow), 738 nucleotides. RefSeq lists it as uncharacterized. The record is from RefSeq and is a predicted model, not a curated record. NCBI's taxonomy places the organism in Eukaryota, Metazoa, Chordata, Aves, Passeriformes, Passeridae. The transcript has 5 exons.